AUGUGUCCUUCAGUGCAUUCACUCAGCAUGUCUUGUUUCUCCGGAGGUCCAAUAGUUCCAGAAAUCCUUGUGAACAUUACAACAUAGGUAAGAUGAAUCUUAUAAGCCUUAAUUAAAGUAUUCUGAGAUACCUGGUAUUUGUAUGUCAGCUCCUCCUUUUC
RNAcentral lists this long non-coding RNA (161 nucleotides) under Callithrix jacchus (white-tufted-ear marmoset). RNAcentral describes it as "lncRNA (ENSCJAG00000068993.2)". The record is from RNAcentral. Lineage: Eukaryota; Metazoa; Chordata; Mammalia; Primates; Cebidae.